Long non-coding RNA from Papaver somniferum (opium poppy), 2712 nucleotides. RefSeq lists it as uncharacterized. The record is from RefSeq and is a predicted model, not a curated record. The transcript has 10 exons. NCBI's taxonomy places the organism in Eukaryota, Viridiplantae, Streptophyta, Magnoliopsida, Ranunculales, Papaveraceae.
UUUGGAAUAAUUUUCACUUUAUUGGAUCCUUCGGGUUACUCAAAUUCAUUUAGGGUUUGUAGGGGGUCCUGAUUUUGUUCAAAUUGUAAUGAUAAACCUUAAAUGGGAGUAUUCUUUCUUAGGGUUCCGUUCAGAUUGAAGAUCCGAACACGAAUUUCUGAAGAUUUGUCACCAUUGGUAUCUCUUUUUACCGAAGAUUCGAACACGAAUUACAGGGUUUCGUUACCACGCUUAUCUUGACUUGAAUUCUUCGGACGGAGGAACGCUUCAUGUCAAACUUUCGGAAGGACUCAGCUGAGGAUUGCAGCUUAGAUUUACAACCUGUAAUUAAGUACAGACAAAAUGGUGUUGUCUUGUUACACAUCUAUUGUAUUUCUGAUGUGUUGGUAUGCUUUUAAUAUUGGGUUUUUGGGUGUGAGAAGGUAUUGACUGCUCGAAUCUGGGUCAAUACAGAAGAACACCCCCAAGCUGGUUGGAGCAUUUCUUCUCCUGAUGUUGAAGAUAACACAUGUAAGUUCGCAAAGAACUGGUUGACUCCAUCUCAGAUUGAUGUCAUUCUCAGGGAUUCACAUGGUUUAAGAGUGUCAGUUGAAGCAACAUUUUGCAUAUUCUUAAGGCUCAUGGUACGGCCAUCACUAUUGUUUUUUGGUUUAUUGGACCUAGAGAUUUGUUUCUUUAUCUUCUUACACUUCAUGAAUUUGACUUCAAUUUCCACAUUCAAUAUAGCUUCUCUGUAUUUAUAUUGAAUUCUUGUUUGUUUCAACUAUAGGCUGAAGAAGGUAAUAUGUUAUCAGUGUUUUGCUGGGUAUGAGAUUUCUGUAUCCAUAUUUAUUCUAAUUGUACUCCCAAUUAAUUUAAUGCACCAAACUUAGUUGUGUUUUGCUGUGUUAUGACAUCUGGAUUUUUUAUCUCCCUAUUUCGAGGUUUGAUAAGUGAUAAGAAGAUCAAGAUUACUGUCAAUGAAUCCUGAUAAACGUUCUGUUGAGUAGUAUUGAUUUCAAUAUGUGAAUUUGUAAAGGUUUAAACGCCUUGAAGGUUGAACUCUUUGAUUGUGUUGCUCCUUUAAAUGAAGAGUGAUUGUGCAGUUUUUUUUAUUUUUUUAUUUUAAUUUUUUUUUAAUUAAAUCUGGCAACUAAAUGUUAAAGCAAUUUCGAUGGAUCUCGUAUCUUCUUUUUUUUUGUGUGCUUUAGUUGCAGAAUGCCGAUCUCCUGGACAGUGAAAUCAUAUAUGACAGAGAUUUUGACUAUGAUUAUUUUGGUUUCAAAACCCUUGAAAGAUCCUACCUGUUGAAGGUGCAAGGCAAGGUUGUAGAAGACCACAACAUAUGUUGAUGAGAGUUGCUGUUGGAAUCCGCAAAGACAAUAUUGAUUCUGUUCUCAAAACAUAUCAUCUAUGCCACAACGUUGGUUUACCCAUGCUUCUCCUACUCUUUUCAAUCUAGGGACACUCAGGCCUCAAUUGAGUAGCUGCUUCCUUGUGUGCAUGAAAGAGCACAGUAUUGAAGGAAUAUAUGGAACUUCGAAGGAGUAUGCUGUUAUUAGUAAAUCUGCUGAAGGAAUUGGAGUUUCUGUGCACAACAUCUGUACCACUGGUAGUUAUAUCUUUGGUACUAAUGGAACAUCUAUUGGAAUUGUUCCAAUGCUAUGAGUAUUCAAUGACACUGCCCGUUGUGUUGAUCAAGGAUGACAAGAGGAAAGGUAAUGUCUUCUGCCUUGAUAUACUUUCUUGUGUUAGCUUCCUGUACAGGUGAUAUUGCUGUCUACCUAGAGCCAUGGCAUGCCGCUAUUUUCGAGUUCCUAGACCUAAGGAAGAAUCAUGGAAACGUAUUGUUGGAUGAUUUAUUGAUUUCACCUGCCGUCAGAAUUUGUUCAAUAAGUGAUGAUACUGUAUUUUGGUUGUCUCUGAAUAUUUUGUAUAAACCUUCGAAAUACACACAAGAGCAAGCUGCAGUUAGAGCAUCCUCAGGAGAUUUCAGCCUGCGCAUUCUGUCAAUAGCGGGUGCCUCGCUGCCGGGUCUUCUGAAAUAUAGCUGACAGUGAUUCUUAAUGAGCAGGUCUGCACAAAGAUACAGCCUAAUUCUGAUCGAUAGAGUUCAUUUGAUUGAGAAAGACAAGCUUGUUGGGUUUGUUCUAGAUUGUCAGUUUGUGAGCAUGAUCAGAGUUGUGUUCAAAAAUAUGUUGGAUAAAGAGAAUUGAGAUGGGCCAGAUGAUGCUGUUGAUGUUUUCCUUACAUAUUUUGGUGUUGUUCUGGCACGGCUGCGCUUCAAAAAAAAAAAGACUCAGCCUAACAAGCAAACCCUUAUUAGAGCCACGUGUGGGUUGGAUUUAGAGAGGAUUCGCUUUCAUGGUUCAGAUUCUCCUCAAUCUGCUGCCAGGGAGAUCCUUCUUCUUUCUUUGGGGAGGUGUCGUUACAGGGUGACAGUUGCUUUUCAGUAAAGCGACAACUUGUAACAUAGAGAAGCAGCUGUAAACUGGAGAGUGUGGACCAAGUUGAAGAAAAUCUUUUGCCAUGAGUCUCGAGUCCAACCAACCAUCUUCAGCAUCAGUUUUCAGUAGCUGGUUGUAUAUGAAUGAAUAAUUACUCUUUUGUACUUUAAUCAACACUAAUUGUUCCAUCUAUGGGCUGUAUAAUUCUUCUAUGUACGGACAUCCAUUGUGUCUGUGUCCCGACAUCCAUAAUUUGAAUAUCCAUAAGGUGGAGCACCUUUUUUCG